Molecule: long non-coding RNA, 863 nt
Filed under: Homo sapiens (human)
Lineage: Eukaryota; Metazoa; Chordata; Mammalia; Primates; Hominidae
Description: non-protein coding lnc-KLRG1-4:1
Rfam family: mir-492 microRNA precursor family (bases 111-185)
Source: RNAcentral
CUUGGUUCCUACCUGGACAAGGUGCGGGCUCUGGAGGAGGCCGGGUGAGCUGAAGGUGAAGAUCUGCGACUGGGCCCCGGGGCCCCGGCAAUUACAGCCACUACUUCAAGACCAUUGAAGACCUGCGGGACAAGAUUCUUGGUGUCACCAUUGAGAACUCCCGGAUUGUCUUGCAGAUUGACACCCGCCGCCUGGCUGCAGAUCACUUCCGAACCAAGUCUGAGAUGGAGCAGUCUCUGCGAAGGAGCUUGGAGGCAGACAUCAAGGCCUGCGCAGGGCGCCCGAUGAGCUGACCCCGGCCAGGGCUGACCUGAAGACGCACAUCCAAGGCCUGCAGGAGGAGCUGGAUCACCUGGAGAAGAACCACAACGAGGAAAUCAGUGCUGCGGGUGGCCAGGUCAGUGUGGAGGUGGAUUCUGCUCCAGGCAUUGGUCUUGCCAAGAUCCCGGGCAACACGUGAAGCCAGUAUGCGGUCAUAACUGAGCAGAUGCCCAAGAUGCUGAAGCCUGGUCACCAGCCAGACUGAGGAUCUGAGCUGGGAGGUCGCUGGCCACACGGAGCAGCUCCAGAUGCACAAGUCCGAGUCGCGGACCGGUGGCGUACCCUCCGGGGUCUUGAGAUUGAGCUGCAGUCGCAGCUCAGCAUGAAAACCGCAUUGGAAGACCGUACUGCAGGAACGGAGGCCUGCGUUGAGGCCCAGCUGGUGCGGAUCCAGGCUCUGAGCAGCGGUGCCGAAGUCCAGCUGGGCAAUGUGUGUGCUGACUGCCAGAGGAGGCCUGAGCAGGAGAUCACUGCCGACCGCAUCCUGCUCGAGCGCCAGAAAGAUCCUUACAGCAACCUGCCCACCUGCAAGGUCCGCUGAG